GGUUUCUCAAGCUUUGAUGCUUUUUUGUUUGACAAAAAAGCUUUUAGCUUGGUUAUUGGGCUUUGCUGUGUCCUUCAUUUGGAACAGGCUGGCCUUAAAAGCAUUAGCUUUGAUCCCUGGUGUGGAUUGGUUCUACUCGGCGUGAUAAUAAUAGUCUGACCGCUGAGGACAUCUUUCGGGGUGGCCAGUUCUCCUUGGGGUUGCUCUCUAAUCUGGAUUGCAAGAUUUGCGUAGUAAAUCUUGCUCCACUUUCAA
Molecule: unclassified non-coding RNA, 255 nt
Filed under: uncultured Clavulinaceae
Lineage: Eukaryota; Fungi; Basidiomycota; Agaricomycetes; Cantharellales; Hydnaceae
Description: sequence contains ITS2
Source: RNAcentral